CAAAAAGUGAGUGUUGAUUCUGUGGCAGGUAAGGCUGUGUUACGAUUUUUAGCUAUUAUAUAUUUAAUUGUACGUUUGGCUCCUGUAAGGAGGAAAAGCAACAGCAAGAACAGAAUGUCCUAACAAGUGUGCCAUUCUGUUUUUGCUCAGAUAGUUUAAGCUUAGACUGUUAAUAAAUCUGUUCCAAACUGAAAAAGCAAGUGGUACAUUGAUAUGGAAGUAAGCAGCCCAUGCCUAAACACUUGUUAUUUCUAUUGGAGUUGGAAACCAGCUUAAAUAACCAGAGUAAAACAUCAAAGGACAGAGCUUAAUCCUAACUAGAAUUAUUCUAAAUAUACAUCCAAAUAAGAAUUAGUAUUUUUAUUUACAAAUGCAUUGUUAAUACUGUGUUACAAAGAGUGCAAUUGUAAAUUCAGUGGAGGUAAGUGUGGAUUAUUGUUUUGCUGGACAAGUUUAGACCUGUUGGUUGUUCUUACAGUGGUGGAAAUUCUACUGUUAAGCCAGACAAGUAUUGAAUAACUUGAAAUACUGGCAUAGUACUUCAACAACAACAAAAACAAAAAAGCACACCUUCUGGAAUUGUAAAGAAAAGUACACUGAAAGGUUUAUUCUCCCCUCCUCUCCCCACACACACAAGUGUUAUAGCGGUGUGUCUUUUAUAGUGGACAUUGCACAGUGUGUUAUUUUUGCUAUGUGAUCCCCAAAUGGGGAUAACCCAAGCUGAAAAAAGUCUGUGUAGAGUAAGGGCUCAAGUUCAACUCUUCUUUGAUUCACCUUGCUGCAGGCAGUUGUAUUUUGAGUAAGAAAGUAUGUGUGUUUCCAUUGCACUUCUUUUUUUUAAUGAUGUUUUUUCAUAUAAGUUCAUGAGACUUUCUCAUCUAGCCCACUGUUCAAAGGGAGAUGUUUGUCUCAUGGCUUAAAAGCUAGAAAAGAAUAUUACUCCAAAGAGGAGGGGUGAGGAAGGGGUUUGUGGGAAUAAAUUUGAAUAAUGAACGUAUUUCACAAAGGGGAUUGUUUAGGUAUGCCAUAGGGCUGUGUUAGAGAAGGCACAAGUCCGUGUGUCUCUUGAGUCUUGGUGAUCUAAAGAGGGAGAUGAAAGUUUAAGGAAACAAAAUCUGUCUCCUUUGCCUUAAGUCCAAAACAACAUAGCUCACAUUUUGCAAGCCAAGAUUUAGUUUUAGUUCUACCCGUGUGAUUUGAUUAAAGGAGAAAAUUUGGAGAUGCAUAGGGAAAGAGCUCUUAGAUUGUGAUAACCUGAAGUGAGAAAAGUGGAGUACUCAGAGAAAUUGCCCAUACCACACACAGUAGUAUGUCUUCCUUUUAUACUGAAAGUCAUAAGCAUCUGGACAGAUAGGAUGCCCUGUCAAUAUCCUUGAAACACCUCAAAGCAAGUUGUAAGGGCACACUCAUGGGAUUGUGUGUGGAGAGGUACUUUCUUCUUCAGGGUUUCAUGUUGUUCUGAAUCCAGUUAAGAUAACGGUUCACAUUUGUAUAAACACCAGGUAUGCCUUUGUGGCCGCAGCCUAUUCCCCAGCUGAUGAUUCCUAUUAGAUGCAUGCGAUCAUCCUUCAUGCAAACCAAAGGCCCUCCAGAGUCACCCUGCAGAAAAGUAGCAGGUUAGUAAGAAACUCCUUUUUUGCGUAUGUGUAUGUUUUGUACUCUUUCCCUAUUCAGUGGCCAUAAUGGUACAUUAGAUGCCAUUUCUCAAGUCUCCUUAAAUACUCUGUGUAGCUUACCAACAAAUCAGGGACACCAUGCUUCCAGUGCUCUUAGUAACAGCACCUUCACAUUAGCAUGUUCUGUGUUUCAGACAGAAUUCCUUAGUGCUCCUCUCAUACCAGAGGAGAGACACCAAGUAGCCUAAAACUAAGGUGUCUACCCUUGUGUAGCACACAUUUAUGAAAUAUGAGGCAUUUUUGUUAAGAAUGAGACAAAUACUUUUGUUCAAACUCUAAAGGUCCAAGCUGCUUUAUACUAUUGUGAGUAAAGUAUGAUUAUUGAAGAGAUAAUGAAACUGAAAAGGUGCUGAUAUUUAUUUAGGUGUGCUUGCUUACAGAAUAGAAAAUAAUAGGAAACUGCUGAGGUGGGGUUUCCUGCUCAGUUUUGUGGUAUUUCCUGUAUUUAGAAUUUUCAGUCUGUAUUCUGGUUUGCUUGACUGAAUGUAGCCUGCAUUCCUAGCUAUGAGGAAAAGGUGGAGAGGGAAUUAAAAAAAGUAGACCCAACAGUUAAGUUCUGUGAAACAGAAGUUCUCUAGAAUUUCCAUGUAGUCAGAUGCAGGGCUCUUUUAAAUGAUUUUUUAUGAAAAUUUCUCUUUAGUUAAUUUAGAUUAUCAAGAACAGACCUAGAAAAAAAAAAAAGAAUAAAACUGGGUUUACCUUACAAGCAUCAUCAAGGUGCCUUGUGUCUCCUGCACAUAACAUGUUGUCUGUAACUGUCCGGUUGUGUAGAUGCUGUGUGGUGCACCGACUGGCUGGAAAUAGUCUGACGUGGCCUACCUUCAGGUGCUCUGAAUAAAAGGGAGAAACUGAAAGGGAUGUGAAUAUAUAUGAAUAUACAUGAGUAUAUAUGUAUAAAACUUUGCAGUUCAGUUUCUGCAGUUUGGGAGAGUGCAUUAACUAGUGGCAGGAGAGGAGGGUGGGAAAACUAAUAUUUCCUUGCCAGGAGUCUUUUUUUUUUAGUUAUGGGCGUUCUGCUUUGCCGGUGAGAACAACUUAAAUACCGUUGAAAGACAAUUUUGCUGCUUCAGUAAGCUUAAGUGUUAGAGAUUUUUACAGGGUGCAAAUUGCUAGGUUUCUUAGGGGGUUGUCUUUGCAUGAAUGACAUCAAUCUAAAUGGAGCGCAUCUAAUAAUCAAUACAUGUAUGAAAAGGGAUCCUGACUCUUAGUAUUAGAUUUGGGUUAGUUAAAAACAGCUGUCUUGUACAAAAUACUGAAUAACUAGAUAGGAAUGCACACUCGUUAUCUUGGAAUGGAAUUGAUUUAUAUCUGCCUUGCAUGUCGGUUUUAUUCUUCUGCAUAGUUGCAACUGCACAAAGCUGAAAAUUGGCAGGACUGUUUUUCAGUCUGGUUUUAAAUUAUAAUUGCAGUGUACUUUUGCUCUGAAAGAGUUAACUGUACUCCCUAUAGAAAAAGAAGCACUAGGUUUAGCUCUUUUAAAACAUUUUGUGAUACACUUGUCUGUUAAAGUUGUAUGUUAACUCUGUCACAAAAGCCUUAAUAGCUCAAAUUGUGAUUUGUCCUUGUUAUGAUGGAUGCUUCACAGUCUCUGCCUCAGCAUUUACAAUUUAAAGAUAAUAAAAAUAAAUGCCAAUAAGGCAUUUAUAAGCUGCUUUUUCUUCUUUUUUGGAAUACAGGUUAGUCUAUAUGUACUUCCAGACAGGUUUUAUUCCAGGCUUUUUCUUGACUCUGGUUUUUAAAGUAGCUCUGUUUCAAAACCAUUCCUGGUGAGGGGGUUGAUACUGUAUGCCUGUUCAGGAAGUAUUGAGGGCAUAAUCAAAAUACUGUACUGUAACUUUUGGUUAGCACCAAAGUGGCCAGGCAGUUGGACUUCAUGACCUUUGUAGGUACUGCUCAAUUGAACCAAUUUAACUAUUCUGUUUAAUUUGGCUGACCUUUUAAUAUAUAUCCAGGACUUUUACAUCCUUAGCUUUUUUUUUUUUUAUUGCUAAUUGCUGUACAGUCAAUGUAUGUUUUGGAUUAAUGCCCACUACCCACAACUACAUGGUAUUAUUAUGCAUGGUAUUAAAUCUUGACAGAAAUUGAUUUCUUUGAGAAUGACAAUAUCUAAGUUAAUAAUUAAAUACAAUAAAUAGUACAGCAGAAAUGCAGAAGCCUUCACUGACAAACUUUGUCUUAUUCAUCUUGCCAUUUUCUGUGUUCCUACUGUUUGAGAGUUUCAAGAAAAACUCUGCUAACCCAGGCAGCUGACAUAUCUCAGAUGAAUGAAAAAACUUGUUUUUAAUGUAUGUUCCACAUAUAGGUACAUUUUUGGAGUGCUAAUAUAAUUUCAUGAAAUAAUUCAGGAGUCACAGAUUAAACAGGGCUAAAGGCUUGAAUUCUUUGGGGCAGAGAACCUGGCUUUGGCCACAACACAUCUUCUACUUACAUUCUUCGUUUCUACCAUAACCAGAGAUCUCACAUUCAGUCCAGUCAGGCAGCUGCAGGUCAGGUGUUGGGAGGCAGGCUGCUCGAACAGUGUCUGUUUCAAUAGCACAGUCUUCUGUGUCCGAGUUCAACUGCAGCAGAGCUGAACAGUGGGGAAAAAAACAAGAAUCACCACUUGGCUAACAUCAAGCCUUAGCAAAUCACAACCCAUCAAAUUGUGAGGUCAAAGAAAUUCUUACCAAUAUCAUUGUUGUAAUUCUCUGAGUCAUAUCUCUCAUGUACAACGUAGUUCUUCACCUGAAACUUUUGUUCCUUCUCCUCUGGAGUUGCUCGAGAAGUCCUGCCCAGCACAAUCUUCAGCUGAUUAGUACUAAAACUUUAAAAAUGAAAGCAUAUUUACUUCCAGUAUUAACUGGAGUAGAGCCUUUCCUUGAAGACGUGCUGUUGGAGCUUCUCUUAUUUUAGUAUAAUUACUACUUCAUCAGUCAGGCAGUUUGAUCUCAGAUGUCCUAUUUGCUUUAGUUUUUGCACUAAUUGCUUAGAGCCACCAUGGCAAAGAUCCUCUGUAAGUUCCUUGCUGUUGGCAAGUUUCAUGUGGCUCUGCAUUCUGUGCUGACAGCUUUGUUCUUUAGCUAUUUGAUAUUCUGCUGUGGUACUUCAAUGCCAUACAGCUAGUUUGCCUGUCUGUAACACUGAUCACAUUUAACUACAGUUCCUUACUGUAGAAUGACCUAGUGGAGUAAAUGUCUUUUUCAAGUCUUUCACUCUUCCAGUAAGGCUAAUACUGGAUGCUUCCAUUUUCCAGACUUUUUUUUUUUUAAUCAUGAUUUACCAAAAAGUACCAAAUCCUCAACUCACCCUUCCUCAAAACAGUGAGCAGCUGACAAAACCCAGCAGGAACUGAUCAGAAUUCCUCCACAGAGGAAAUGUUCUCCGGGUACUCUGUAAUACUUCACAAAGAUGGCAGCUUGCCAUGGGUGAGCUUCAAUGUCUGCAUAGGAGCCAACUUUAAUCCGGUACUGGCGUGCCCUGUGCUGCCGUAGACCACAGCUGGAGCAAGUAGGCACAUCACAGUACUCCCAUGUGAGCUGUUUUCCUUUCAGUACGUGGCACCAAGGCUUGCUGUCAUUGUCAGGAUUCCUGCAGUACAGGAAGGAGAAGAAAAACUUGUAUCACCAGAUCUGCAGAGAGUUUAGGGAGAAGGAGACACUUAAGGACAGCAGAUGGGGUUCUGAGUGUACUCUUUUUGAUCCUUUUAGAAACACAGAGGGCACAGGGCACAUUAAAUUUUCAUUUAUAGAGUCUGGUGUUAGAGAAGUAUAGACAGACCAAGUGGUAUGAAAAUUACCAUCGGCAGUGAGUUCGAUUCCCGGCCAUAACAUCCCUACUCUGCUUUGAAAACUCAUGUAAACAACUCGAGCCCUCCCUCAACAUUACCACAAGGAAACUUAUUGUUUGUUUUUAAGUUCACUACAUUACUGAUUACAUACCUGCAGAAAUUGUGACUGCCAAGGCCUAGCUGGUAAGCAUCUCUUCUCCAAGCAGUAUAUAACUUGCUGACAAUGAUUUGAGAAUUCCACCUCAAACAGGUAGCUCCAGAAAUGGUAACACUGUGACUACCUCGGUAAUCUGUGCCUCUUCCAGUUUUGCAAUUGAUGUUUCCAACUUAAAUAAUAAAACAGCAUGUGAAAUGGUGAAUGUGAGCCAUCAGCUGUUCUAAUUGUGAUUUCUGUCAAGGCUCCUACGUAUUAGCUAUACUUAUCUCAGGCUCUGUAAUAAAUAUUAAAACCUUAAACAUGAUUUAACAUGAGAAUAUCUUAACUGCUAAUUUUCAUAAGGCCAGAGAGAACUCUGAGAGUUGCUACGACUCACUAUAUAUCUAAAGCCCAUUCUCUGUCCUCCUGCAUGUACCUUUUGAACAGGGGGGCACACUGCAGUAUUCCCAGGUGUACUUCCCCCCUUUGUAGACAUAGCACCAAGGUCUGGAGUCCUCAUCUGGGUUUCUGAAAGAGUUACAACAUUAUGCAUCAUUUUAAAGCUAUAAUUACUAGUCUCAAGUGUGCCAUCUAGUUCAGUAACUUGAUUGUGCUUAGCAGUGAGGGGGUGAACUGAACCAGCAGAAGUCAUUUUUAUUCUUAUUUUAAUUAUAAAAGCAUGGAGGUGGGGAUGAGAUGGCCAGUAGUAAGGGUAGAUAGCUUGUUUGUGCAGGUUAGAUCAUGUGCAGGAGGUACUACAUUGUAGAGUUCUAAGGAGUGUCUAGAUCUGCAGGCAAACAUGAUAGGAAACUGGCUUGCAAAGGGAGUUUUUAACAGUAAGAAGGCAACAGUGGGCACAAGGGAAAGACUGUGGAGUGAGAGAGGGCAUGCAUUUUGUAGUCUAUCAAACAUCCACUCUUAGAUGGUUCAGAAAUAGAAAUCUAUCAGUUGCUGCUCUUGGACUGCACCAUGUUUGCACCUGUUCACAGUGUUCUACAGUUGGUAUCAGGCUGUUGCAAAUAGCCUUUUUUGCCCCAAGCUCCCGGAAUAAUCAGAUUCUUACAGCUCUAAUGUGUGCUGUGAGUCCCUCACCUGCAAUAGUUGUGAUUGCCCAAUCCCAGCUCAGCAGCAUCCUUUCUUUGGCCACUGUAUUUAUGGUCCAUCAAGCCAUUGAUAUUCCAAUUCAGGCAUUCAGCUCCACUCUCUGUUAUGCUCCAUGUACCCCUGUAUGUUACUCCAGCAUUUUUGUAGCACUUAACUUCAGUAUCUGAGCAAAAGGGAACAAAAAACAGCAUCACAAGUUCUGCUUCCUCUGACUCUGCUCUGUUUACAGUUGGCUCCAGAUGCCUUGUCUCAUAAGUCAGUGAAACACCUUUCCAAGCAAACUCUACAUAUACACAAAGGUUUUUGUCUUCAAAGCUUAGUAUUUUAUCAAGAGGCCAGAGAAUCACAGAGCAGCUUGAGUUGGAAGGCACCUUAAAGAUCAUCCAGUUCCAGCCCUCCUGAUGUGGGCAGGGUUGCCAGCCACCAAAUCAAGCACUUGAUCAGGCUGCACAGGCCCCAUACAGCUUGGCUUAAAUAUCUCCAGGGGUGUGGCAUCCACACCUUCUCAAGGCAACCUAUUCCAGCACUUCACCUCCUUCUGAGUGAAAAAUAUCCCCCCAACAUCUAAUCUGAACCUCCUCUCUUUUAGUUUAAAACCAUUCUUCCUUGCCCUAUUGUUACUAGUCAGUAUAAAAAGUCUAUCUUCCUCCUGAUAGUACUGGAAGUUUCUAUAAAAUACUGGAAGGCUGCAAUGAGGUGCCCAUGGAGCCUUCUCUUCUCCAGGCUGAACAAGCUCAAUGCUUUUAUCUCGUAUUUUUAGGAGAGGUGCUCUAGCCCUCUAAUCAUCUUUGUGGUCCUCCUCUGGACUCACUCCAACAGUUCUACAUCUUUAUUGUGCUGGGGGCCCCAGAUCUGGAUGCAGUAUUCUACCUGAGGCCUCACGAGACACAGAGAAACCCAGGUGUCCUUUUCUAAAGUUGUUUGUAGCAUUAGCUUUACCACAAAAAGCAGCAACUUAGCAGAGAGACCCCUGUACAGCAGUGGUUUCUGAGUACCUAAUCCUUCUGUGCUGCACAGCUAAAACCAGCAGCAUUGUUCACAAUAACUGGAGCAGCAUACUUACCUAUUUCACACUGCUUCCCAGAGAAACCGUGGUGACAGCGGCAGAUGAAGAGCUGUGGGGAGUAAUAUGCCUGUGAACACUGGCCCCCAUUGUAGCAUUUAUUUCUAGUGCAGGCUGUGGAAUAAACAAAAGCCAGGAAACAAUUAGAAUUCACAGAAGUAAGCAGCUGGCAACAUGCCCAUCUGUCCUCCUCCUGUCAGUCUCCUUCAGCCUGCUCUACUUUCCCUUAAUAUGUGUAUGUAAUGUUAGACUCUUCCUUUGCUCCAUUAUCUCCAUUAGCAGGAUCAUAAGCUUUUCUCAGUCUCUUGCCUGUUCCUCCUUAGUUCUGCCUGAGGCAGUGUAUACUGAUGCUUUCAUUUCAAGCCAAAUUCUGUGUGAUCACGCCUUCCCUGACAGUGGAGUUUUUCUUUAGGAUGCACUAGACGGAUAGUCUGUCAUCUCCCACCCUUUCCAUUCUUUUUCUUCUUCAUACUCACCUCUGAUGGGCACAGUGUGGCAGUAACUCCAACCACGGUCACACCUACAGUAUUCUAUUCUGCUGCCUGAAAGUCUCAGCCAGCUCCCUCUGUGCUGGUAUAUUUGUCCAGAUGAAUAGUCUGUGCAAAUGGCUGUAAUUGGAGAAAAGGAACCCUCUUUUAGAGAUUCACAGAAAAGACCUCGCUGAGCAAAAUAACUCUCUCUUGCCAGGGUAAAAAGUAUCCAUGAAGGGAUAAAUCAGUCUAACAGGCCACUCUUCCUUAUUCCCAGACCCAGGCUAUCCCAUCUCUGUCAGUGUCAUGCGGCUGAAUGUUCUGUUCUGCUAAUGACCGUCCUCAUUAUGACUUGGAAGAACACAGAAAGAGGAGAAUAUUGUUCUUUAAGGUGUGGAUGGUAUUAACACUGUAGUAUUUUGUCUUCUGAAUCUGCCAUUCUCAGAUUUCCCCCCCAGCCAUGGAAAACAACUUUCAGGCUCCAUUCCUUCAGUGUCAUCUCCUUUCCUCUCCCCUAUGUUUUUAAAGCCUCUGGGUCAUGCAGCUGUAAUUUGCCUGGCUUACCUUGAGAUCUGGCUCCCCGUUUGUAACGCAUGUGUGUGCCCUGCAAGUAGAGAAGGUGAAUUCUGUGAGUAACUACUCUCUUAAGAAAACUGAGAGAACAAGUGCCUUCAAGAAGCCACACCUCCUCUUGAGGUCUUGAAAAUCGGGGAACAAUGAAAAGCGUGUUAAGUAUUUCAGCAUGCGUACUGAAAAACUGCAAAUAAUUUAAUUAGUACAGGUUACUAAUUAACUACAGGUUAUUAUCAGGUUACUGCUUGUCACUUGAGUGUUGUGAACUUGGUGGUGCGUUCUACUUGCAUAAUUUCUGAAGUGUUUAUGUGCUGGUGGAUCACUCCAACUGCUAACUAAAACUUGUCAGCUUUCUGCUAUUUGCAGGAGAUCCAAGAAAAUAAUUUGCAAAUAUGUAGAUGUGAACAAGCAGUUAUUUUCGCUCAGCAGCUUUUGCUUGCAGUUUCCCUGUGAAUACUUUGACUAACUUUCAUUUUUCAGAGCACGUGUUAAUAAGAUUAGUCAUAGUAAGAGCUCAGCAUGGACUGGACAUGUAUGCAGCGAUGUGUGAUCCUUCAGUGCAAGACUUUCACUUGCUACCCAUCAUAUUUAAAUACUGAAAGUGGGAUGGGAGGAAGGAGCAGAAAGGUACAGAUGCAUAUCCUACAGCCAAUUAUUUUUCUUCCCCUGAUUUCUAGGAGUAGAACUAGAUCCUUCCUUUGUCUGAUACAUACAGCUGGAGUCUGUGGUAAGGAAGAGCUGCUGAAAACUAGGUUAAGUGUCUAAGGAU
RNAcentral lists this long non-coding RNA (9557 nucleotides) under Gallus gallus (chicken). The record is from RNAcentral. Lineage: Eukaryota; Metazoa; Chordata; Aves; Galliformes; Phasianidae.